AACGAACGCUGGCGGCAUGCCUAACACAUGCAAGUCGAACGAGACCUUCGGGUCUAGUGGCGCACGGGUGCGUAACGCGUGGGAACCUGCCCUUAGGUUCGGAAUAACUCCCCGAAAGGGGUGCUAAUACCGGAUAAUGUCUUCGGACCAAAGAUUUAUCGCCUUUGGAUGGGCCCGCGUUGGAUUAGCUAGUUGGUAGGGUAAAAGCCUACCAAGGCGACGAUCCAUAGCUGGUCUGAGAGGAUGAUCAGCCACACUGGGACUGAGACACGGCCCAGACUCCUACGGGAAGGAGCAGUGGGGAAUAUAGGAAAAUGGGCGAAAGCCUGAUCCAGCAAGGCCGCGAGAGUGAUGAAGGCGUUAGGGUUGUAAAGCUCUUUUACCCGGGAUGAUAAUGACAGUACCGGGAGAAUAAGCGCCGGCUAACUCCGUG
Molecule: ribosomal RNA, 433 nt
Filed under: uncultured bacterium
Lineage: Bacteria
Description: partial 16S ribosomal RNA
Rfam family: Bacterial small subunit ribosomal RNA
Source: RNAcentral